Dendrobium catenatum is the source of this 1406-nucleotide RNA transcript. It is a transcript of the gene named phosphomannomutase, with no coding region annotated. The record is from RefSeq and is a predicted model, not a curated record. The transcript has 13 exons. Lineage: Eukaryota; Viridiplantae; Streptophyta; Magnoliopsida; Asparagales; Orchidaceae.
ACGUGGGCGCCUGUAGGAAUCCGAGGUCACCAGAGCUCUGGAUCGGCAACAUAAUAUAUUCUCUUUUCUCACGGCGAUGGCGACCUACGACGUUUCCUCUCAUUGCAGAGAUCUUUCUACGCGUUGCCGCCCCUGGCCACCGUACUAAGGUGAGCCUUAGUAGGUUUUCCGAUCCUCCGACGGGAGUCGCAUUUGCUCACGAGGUAUUUUUCGAGACAGAAUGACUGGGAGGAUGCCAGGGCUUAUUGUGCUGUUUGAUGUAGAUGGUACACUCACGGCUCCCAGAAAGGCUAUAACUCCGAAGAUGCUACAAUUUAUGCAAGACCUACGAAAGGUAGUUACAGUUGGUGUCGUUGGAGGGUCUGAUCUGGUUAAAAUAUCAGAACAACUUGGGAAGUCAGUUAUCAGUGACUAUGAUUAUGUCUUUGCUGAAAAUGGUCUUGUUGCUUACAAAAAUGGUGAACUUAUUGGCAAACAGAACUUCAAAUCUUUUCUCGGUGAAGAAAAACUCAAGGAAUUGAUUAAUUUCACGCUCCAUUAUAUUGCUGACCUGGAUAUCCCAAUCAAAAGGGGAACAUUCAUAGAGUUCAGAAGUGGAAUGCUGAAUGUUUCUCCAAUAGGACGCAAUUGUAGCCAAGAGGAACGUGAUGAGUUUGAGAAGUAUGAUAAAGUUCACAACAUCCGGUCAAAAAUGGUCUCCGUACUUCGCGAAAAGUUUAAACAUUUGAAUCUCACUUUUUCUAUUGGGGGACAGAUAAGUUUUGAUGUAUUCCCCCAAGGCUGGGAUAAGACCUACUGUUUACGGUACCUUGAAGAUUUCCCUGAAAUCCACUUUUUUGGUGACAAGACAUACAAGGGCGGAAAUGAUUAUGAGAUCUACGAGUCUGAAAGGACAGUGGGCCAUACAGGGGAGAAACAUUAUCCUAUUAACAAGCAGGGGAUUGUCUUCUUUUCUUGGAUUAUUCAAGAAAGUAUGGUAGAUUUUCUGUGGUGCAAACGGCUUGUUUUCAUGGGAGGCAAUCGUGUGUCUUUCCAUUCUGCCAUUGUUGCUCGGAAAAUUGUUCCUUUACCCAGAGUAAAACAUCUUUCAGUAGAAAGUAUUAAAAUUUCUUCUUGAUCUACAAUCGUUGCAUAUUCUUCCUGAACCAUCUUUUGCUGGGAGUCAAUAAGAUAGUAACCAGCCCUGAUGACACAGCUGAGCAGUGUAAACUCCACUUCCUAGCAAAGCAAGCUGGAGAUGCCUAAGUUAUAUUCCUUUCAUUGCCUGUUCUUAUGUUUCUAUUUUUAGUAAUUUGAAAUAAUUUGGCCUAUGAUGGCCAUUGUAUGCCUAUCUUUGUGUGUAAUAUGCCAUAAAAAAUAAUUAUUUUAUUUGCAAUAAGGAACUAUAUUCCUAGGCUUGCAUUUAA